GUAGAUAUAGUUUAACUUAAAACAUUAGAUUGUGGUUCUAAAACAGAUGGCAAUUAUUCUCUUAUCCACC
RNAcentral lists this transfer RNA (70 nucleotides) under Silurus asotus (Amur catfish). Its description in RNAcentral is "tRNA-His". The record is from RNAcentral. Lineage: Eukaryota; Metazoa; Chordata; Actinopteri; Siluriformes; Siluridae.